GCUCCCAUGGUGAAACUGGCAAACACAGCAGACUUAAAAUCUGCCGCCUCACGGCUUCCCAGUUCGAGUCUGGGUGGGAGCACCA
This 85-nucleotide transfer RNA is filed under the name Psychrobacter sp. RNAcentral's name for it is "tRNA-Leu". It matches the Rfam family "tRNA". From Rfam's summary of the family: Transfer RNA (tRNA) molecules are approximately 80 nucleotides in length. Their secondary structure includes four short double-helical elements and three loops (D, anti-codon, and T loops). Lineage: Bacteria; Pseudomonadati; Pseudomonadota; Gammaproteobacteria; Moraxellales; Moraxellaceae. The record is from RNAcentral.